Dioscorea cayenensis subsp. rotundata (Guinea yam) is the source of this 110-nucleotide small nucleolar RNA. The record is from RefSeq and is a predicted model, not a curated record. Lineage: Eukaryota; Viridiplantae; Streptophyta; Magnoliopsida; Dioscoreales; Dioscoreaceae.
AGGACAAGUAGGGGCAUGCUCUGCCUGUGCUUACCCUUGAACCUAUCCCAUGUCUCAAAAAGAGACUCCAAUUCCAUUUGCACAAAAGGGGAUAUUUCAUUACUGAGCUU